Molecule: long non-coding RNA, 1309 nt
Organism: Eucalyptus grandis
Lineage: Eukaryota; Viridiplantae; Streptophyta; Magnoliopsida; Myrtales; Myrtaceae
Exons: 3
Source: RefSeq, a predicted model, not a curated record
CUUCUAAAGCCGUUCAAUACCAAACGACUCUCUUGAGGCAAAGAGGAGGUUCGAGAGACCCUCAAUCUUGUUCUUCCUCGGUAUUCUUCGGACACAGAUCCACGUGAAGACCCCGACGGGCAAGACCGUCAUCGUUGAAGUGGAGAGCUCGGAGACCGUCCACAACGUGAAGGUCAAAAUACAGGACGAGCAGGCAUUCCCAUGGAUCAGCAGAAGCUGAUCUUCGUGGCAAGGAGCUCAAGAACGAUGUCUGGAUGCUCACCGAGUAUGACGUUCUCAGCGAGUCCGUGCUCUACCUCAAUCUUUGUCAAAAGGCCAAGAAAACAGGUAUGUGGCGCUUUCUUGCUUUGGCGCGGCGGCUUCUGAGGUGAAUAUUUCACAGUCUAUGUAAUUGUGUGUUGAUGAGUUAUUAUGGAUGUGGUGAAGAGAAUCAAUUGAUCUCGCACAUCAUGAAAUAAGCUUAUCCUGAGAGUUUCUCAAUUGAAGAGGACGUGGACGACCUUGAUCCUUGAUAUUCUGCACAGCAAACCAAAUCUAAGACCAAUUGUGUUUCUUGCUAGAUGUAUCUGCAGAUGAGGAUGAUACGGACAUGGAAUCCAAGAUCUGAUGAAAGAUGUUAGUACUACUUAGUACUGAUAUUAUAACUCAAACUUGCGCUAGGUUGGAUGCAAGAUUUCACUAUACACGCGUGCUUCAAGACUUUUAUUUUGGAAGGCCUCACAUGACUGGAGUUAACGAGUUCCGUCGAACCAUGAAGCCUUCAACGGGGAAGGCCAUUUAUGCUCCUGAUGCUUAAAUUGGCAUAGGGGCUUUGUUUACUUCAUAUGGAAAAUAAGAAACAUGAAACUCCUCAACGAAAAUCAUUUGAUGUGGUGAAAAUCAACAAGAAGAAUGGUUUUUCCAAGAGAUAAUUCUUGUCACCUCAUGGUCUAUCUGCAACCAUACAGCCACUAUGAAAGAUGUCGACAGCCGUUGAUUUUGAUGUGCACGGUUGAAGAGGUAGAAGUCAAAUUUGUCAGCAAUAAUUCAACAAUAUGGACUAGUUCAAAUUAGAUUUCUCCCUUCAGUUUGCUUUCAGUUGGUCCUCGCGAUUUUCAGCCGAUUAUUGCACAAUGUCAGCCAAUAGUCUCCUCUUCUAUGAAUGACUUAUUGACAACAGCUGUCACGGAGGAUGAGAUCAAGGCAGCCACCUUUCAGCUCAGACGCACAAAAGCACCCGAACCUGACGGUCUGAAUGGUCUUUUUUACCAAACUUAUUGGAACACUUUGUGUGUUGAUUUUAUCCCCCUUAUACAACAGUUUUUUUUUU